UACGAAGGGGGCUAGCGUUGCUCGGAAUCACUGGGCGUAAAGGGUGCGUAGGCGGGUUUUUAAGUCAGGGGUGAAAUCCUGGAGCUCAACUCCAGAACUGCCUUUGAUACUGAAGAUCUUGAGUCCGGGAGAGGUGAGUGGAACUGCGAGUGUAGAGGUGAGAUUCGUAGAUAUUCGCAAGAACACCAGUGGCGAAGGCGGCUCACUGGCCCGGUACUGACGCUGAGGCACGAAAGCGUGGGGAGCAAACAGG
RNAcentral lists this ribosomal RNA (253 nucleotides) under uncultured bacterium. RNAcentral's name for it is "partial 16S ribosomal RNA". It matches the Rfam family "Bacterial small subunit ribosomal RNA", at positions 524 to 776 of the family's 1533-position model. The record is from RNAcentral.